Long non-coding RNA from Salvia splendens (bonfire salvia), 573 nucleotides. RefSeq lists it as uncharacterized. The record is from RefSeq and is a predicted model, not a curated record. Lineage: Eukaryota; Viridiplantae; Streptophyta; Magnoliopsida; Lamiales; Lamiaceae. The transcript has 2 exons.
UCGAAUGAAGUGAUAAAACUAUUUGAAUGAAGUAAUAUAAUAGAAUAAAAUGAAGUAGUGAUCUAGUCACACUCAAUAACUUUGUUUCCUCCCACCUCCCUCCUUUAUAUUUAUGCUGCUGCUGCAGCAUCAUCAACACACUCAAUAACUUCGCUGCCUCUGCCGCAUUGCUGCUGCAUUUUACUGCCUUUUCCCUCAGAGAGGAGGAGGUGGUGGAAGUAGAUCGAGAAGUUGUUGAUAUCGAUAAGAAUGAAUGUUGUGGUUUGCAGCACUCUGCUGCUGCGGCUCUGUUUCGCAGCAUCCGCCAACGGACAGAAAACCACCCCCGCGCCGGCGACUCCGACACUGUGGCCAGCACCGGCUACCGAUUGAUAGCACCAGUGAGUACGACAAUGGCGACAGAGGGGCUGUCCUUGCAGAGAGACAUGCAGAAGGCGAAAGGGGAAUUGAGGGACGGUGAGAGAGAAUUGUAGAGAGAGAAGUGAGUUAGAUUUUGAAAGAGAGGAAGAACUGCAUAUUCUGGAAAUACCCUUUUACCAAUUUCAUUAAAUAAAAAAGUCAGAUAAUGUAUAA